This 553-nucleotide ribosomal RNA is filed under the name Bifidobacterium pseudocatenulatum. RNAcentral's name for it is "bacterial SSU rRNA". It matches the Rfam family "Bacterial small subunit ribosomal RNA", at positions 146 to 711 of the family's 1533-position model. The record is from RNAcentral. Lineage: Bacteria; Bacillati; Actinomycetota; Actinomycetes; Bifidobacteriales; Bifidobacteriaceae.
UCUCCUGGAAACGGGUGGUAAUGCCGGAUGCUCCGACUCCUCGCAUGGGGUGUCGGGAAAGAUUUCAUCGGUAUGGGAUGGGGUCGCGUCCUAUCAGGUAGUCGGCGGGGUAACGGCCCACCGAGCCUACGACGGGUAGCCGGCCUGAGAGGGCGACCGGCCACAUUGGGACUGAGAUACGGCCCAGACUCCUACGGGAGGCAGCAGUGGGGAAUAUUGCACAAUGGGCGCAAGCCUGAUGCAGCGACGCCGCGUGCGGGAUGACGGCCUUCGGGUUGUAAACCGCUUUUGAUCGGGAGCAAGCCUUCGGGUGAGUGUACCUUUCGAAUAAGCACCGGCUAACUACGUGCCAGCAGCCGCGGUAAUACGUAGGGUGCAAGCGUUAUCCGGAAUUAUUGGGCGUAAAGGGCUCGUAGGCGGUUCGUCGCGUCCGGUGUGAAAGUCCAUCGCUUAACGGUGGAUCUGCGCCGGGUACGGGCGGGCUGGAGUGCGGUAGGGGAGACUGGAAUUCCCGGUGUAACGGUGGAAUGUGUAGAUAUCGGGGAGAACACGA